This 465-nucleotide ribosomal RNA is filed under the name uncultured bacterium. RNAcentral's name for it is "partial 16S ribosomal RNA". It matches the Rfam family "Bacterial small subunit ribosomal RNA", at positions 338 to 795 of the family's 1533-position model. The record is from RNAcentral.
CCUACGUGCGGCUGCAGUGGGGAAUAUUGCGCAAUGUGCGAAAGCCUGACGCAGCGACGCCGCGUGAGGGAUGAAGGUCUUCGGAUCGUAAACCUCUGUCAGCAGGGAAGCACGGUCACUGUGCUAAUCAGCAGUGAAUUGACGGUACCUGCAAAGGAAGCACCGGCUAACUCCGUGCCAGCAGCCGCGGUAAUACGGAGGGUGCGAGCGUUAAUCGGAAUUACUGGGCGUAAAGCGCUCGUAGGCGGUAUGGCAAGUCAAGGGUGAAAUCCCCGCGCUCAACGUGGGAACUGCCUUUGAAACUGGCAAACUGGAGUGUGUGAGAGGAUAGUGGAAUUCCAGGUGUAGGAGUGAAAUCCGUAGAUAUCUGGAGGAACAUCAGUGGCGAAGGCGACUAUCUGGCACAUAACUGACGCUGAGGAGCGAAAGCGUGGGUAGCAAACAGGAUUAGAUACCCUAGUAGUC